RNAcentral lists this ribosomal RNA (498 nucleotides) under uncultured bacterium. RNAcentral's name for it is "partial 16S ribosomal RNA". It matches the Rfam family "Bacterial small subunit ribosomal RNA", at positions 30 to 523 of the family's 1533-position model. The record is from RNAcentral.
AUUGAACGCUGGCGGCAUGCCUUACACAUGCAAGUCGAACGGUAACAGGUCUUCGGAUGCUGACAAGUGGCGAACGGGUGAGUAAUACAUCGGAACGUGCCUAGUAGUGGGGGAUAACUACUCGAAAGAGUGGCUAAUACCGCAUGAGAUCUACGGAUGAAAGCAGGGGAUCGCAAGACCUUGUGCUACUAGAGCGGCCGAUGGCAGAGUAGGUAGUUGGUGGGAUAAAAGCUUACUAAGCCGACGAUCUGUAGCUGGUCUGAGAGGACGAUCAGCCACACUGGGACUGAGGCACGGCCCAGACUCCUACGGGAGGCAGCAGUGGGGAAUUUUGGACAAUGGGCGAAAGCCUGAUCCAGCAAUGCCGCGUGCAGGAUGAAGGCCUUCGGGUUGUAAACUGCUUUUGUACGGAACGAAAAGCCCCGGGUUAAUACCCUGGGGUCAUGACGGUACCGUAAGAAUAAGCACCGGCUAACUACGUGCCAGCCGCCGCCGUAA